AGUGAACGCUGGCGGUAGGCCUAACACAUGCAAGUCGAACGGCAGCACAGUAAGAGCUUGCUCUUACGGGUGGCGAGUGGCGGACGGGUGCGGAAUACAUCGGAAUCUACUUUUUCGUGGGGGGUAACGAAGGGAAACUUACGCUAAUACCGCAUACGACCUACGGGUGAAAGCAGGGGAUCUUCGGACCUUGCGCGAUUGAAUGAGCCGAUGUCGGAUUAGCUAGUUGGCGGGGGAAAGGCCCACCAAGGCGACGAUCCGUAGCUGGUCUGAGAGGAUGAUCAGCCACACUGGAACUGAGAGACGGUCCAGACUCCUACGGGAGGCAGCAGUGGGGAAUAUUGGACAAAGGGCGCAAGCCUGAUCCAGCCAUACCGCGUGGGUGAAGAAGGCCUUCGGGUUGUAAAGCACUUUUGUUGGGAAAGAAAAGCAGCAGGUUAAUAACCCGCUGUUCUGACGGUACCCAAAGAAUAAGCACCGGCUAACUUCGUG
RNAcentral lists this ribosomal RNA (492 nucleotides) under uncultured bacterium. RNAcentral's name for it is "partial 16S ribosomal RNA". It matches the Rfam family "Bacterial small subunit ribosomal RNA", at positions 29 to 507 of the family's 1533-position model. The record is from RNAcentral.